GUGGGGUAACGGCUCACCUAGGCGACGAUCCCUAGCUGGUCUGAGAGGAUGACCAGCCACACUGGAACUGAGACACGGUCCAGACUCCUACGGGAGGCAGCAGUGGGGAAUAUUGCACAAUGGGCGCAAGCCUGAUGCAGCCAUGCCGCGUGUGUGAAGAAGGCCUUCGGGUUGUAAAGCACUUUCAGCGGGGAGGAAGGCGUUAAGGUUAAUAACCUUGGCGAUUGACGUUACCCGCAGAAGAAGCACCGGCUAACUCCGUGCCAGCAGCCGCGGUAAUACGGAGGGUGCAAGCGUUAAUCGGAAUUACUGGGCGUAAAGCGCACGCAGGCGGUCUGUCAAGUCGGAUGUGAAAUCCCCGGGCUCAACCUGGGAACUGCAUUCGAAACUGGCAGGCUAGAGUCUUGUAGAGGGGGGUAGAAUUCCAGGUGUAGCGGUGAAAUGCGUAGAGAUCUGGAGGAAUACCGGUGGCGAAGGCGGCCCCCUGGACAAAGACUGACGCUCAGGUGCGAAAGCGUGGGGAGCAAACAGGAUUAGAUACCCUGGUAGUCCACGCCGUAAACGAUGUCGAUUUGGAGGUUGUGCCCUUGAGGCGUGGCUUCCGGAGCUAACGCGUUAAAUCGACCGCCUGGGGAGUACGGCCGCAAGGUUAAAACUCAAAUGAAUUGACGGGGGCCCGCACAAGCGGUGGAGCAUGUGGUUUAAUUCGAUGCAACGCGAAGAACCUUACCUGGUCUUGACAUCCACAGAACUUUCCAGAGAUGGAUUGGUGCCUUCGGGAACUGUGAGACAGGUGCUGCAUGGCUGUCGUCAGCUCGUGUUGUGAAAUGUUGGGUUAAGUCCCGCAACGAGCGCAACCCUUAUCCUUUGUUGCCAGCGGUUCGGCCGGGAACUCAAAGGAGACUGCCAGUGAUAAACUGGAGGAAGGUGGGGAUGACGUCAAGUCAUCAUGGCCCUUACGACCAGGGCUACACACGUGCUACAAUGGCAUAUACAAAGAGAAGCGACCUCGCGAGAGCAAGCGGACCUCAUAAAGUAUGUCGUAGUCCGGAUUGGAGUCUGCAACUCGACUCCAUGAAGUCGGAAUCGCUAGUAAUCGUAGAUCAGAAUGCUACGGUGAAUACGUUCCCGGGCCUUGUACACACCGCCCGUCACACCAUGGGAGUGGGUUGCAAAAGAAGUAGGUAGCUUAACCUUCGGGAGGGCGCUUACCACUUUGUGAUUCAUGACUGGGGUGAAGUCGUAACAAGGUAACCGUAGGGGAACCUGCGGUUGGAUCACCUCCUU
Molecule: ribosomal RNA, 1287 nt
Filed under: Klebsiella pneumoniae
Lineage: Bacteria; Pseudomonadati; Pseudomonadota; Gammaproteobacteria; Enterobacterales; Enterobacteriaceae
Description: bacterial SSU rRNA
Rfam family: Bacterial small subunit ribosomal RNA
Source: RNAcentral